UGAAACUGCACCUGGGGCAACUGAGACUCUCAUUAUAAUAUCGGGAACACCUAAACAGACCCAUGCUGCACAGAGCCUGCUUCAAGCAUUUGUAAUGAGCGGGACAGCCUCCCUCUGAUUUGCCGUAGUGGACAGGUGGAAUAUCAAUUAUCCAUUCAUUCAUACAUGUGAGGCUCAUGUAUGAUUUGACUGGCCCAUUUUGGCCUAAGCUGUAUUCAUCAUCGCCCUGCCUCAUGGACUUCCUGAAUACUUAGCAAGUGUGCCAAAAGCACAUCCAUCUUUCCUAAAUCUAAUUUUCUCCAAAAGUCAGGUGGGCCACAUUGCAAGAAAUAAUAGGGAUUGGACACUCACCAUUGAAAAGCUGAUAUUUGUGUUUUCUCUUCAUCCUUGUGGACAUCACCUGAUGAAUGGGUUGGAUGGAACAUAAAUAGAAUGGUGGGCUCCAUAAAGGUCUUAUUGAUGGUGUUUCCAUCCUCUAGUAUUUCUUGUGGUGUGGCCCACCUAGGUUUUAUUAUCUACCUAGUUUUUUUAUUAACUCAUGGACUACCAUGACUUGACAAAACUGAUGGAUGAAGUGGAUGUCACAAGGACAUUGAGACUUUCUGAUCUUUGUUACAUCUAAAAAAUGUAUCCUCCUAAUAACUAUGGUCUAAAGAGAUUGAGACUUCUUAAGAUCCAUCAGCAACAAGUAUUCCAUGUUGCAGCUUUCCUUUAACAAUUUCAUGCUUCUAGUAGGAAUUAUGGAGCUGCAUCCAGGAGAGAUCAAUAGCAUCCCAAGUAAAGCACGCAUAGAAAUUGGUAUGCCUCCUCUUUGGUGAAUAAAAUUCAGUGAGACCCAGGAUAAUUUUAAUAUUUGUGAUUUUGAAGGAGAAAAAAAAGAUAUGGGUUUAGUAAGGAUUCCUUCAUUGAAAUUCUGUUUUCUGUAUAAGAUGCCUUCAUUAAUUAUAUGGCGAUUAAUUAUCUUUGAUUCCUAGCAUAAUAGUUAGUAUGACUUUAAGUUACCAAUUAAUUUCAAU
This is a long non-coding RNA of Magnolia sinica, 1016 nucleotides long. RefSeq lists it as uncharacterized. NCBI's taxonomy places the organism in Eukaryota, Viridiplantae, Streptophyta, Magnoliopsida, Magnoliales, Magnoliaceae. The transcript has 3 exons. The record is from RefSeq and is a predicted model, not a curated record.